GUCCCUGUAGGGCAAUGAAUAGCGCGUUGGAAAUCAAAUCCAAAGGUCGUCGGUUCGAAUCCUACCUGGGAUG
Non-coding RNA from Trichonephila inaurata madagascariensis, 73 nucleotides. NCBI's taxonomy places the organism in Eukaryota, Metazoa, Arthropoda, Arachnida, Araneae, Nephilidae. The record is from the annotation of a GenBank genome assembly.